Cavia porcellus (domestic guinea pig) is the source of this 2678-nucleotide long non-coding RNA. RefSeq lists it as uncharacterized. The transcript is spliced from 3 exons. The record is from RefSeq and is a predicted model, not a curated record. NCBI's taxonomy places the organism in Eukaryota, Metazoa, Chordata, Mammalia, Rodentia, Caviidae.
CACUGUGGGUAGCAUGUCUGCCUCAGGAAACAUCUGACAGUUUCUUAUGAAACUAGAUCAACACUUAUGCUAUGGCCCUGCAAAUCCACUUUUAAGUUAGCCAAGAGUUAUGAAAAUAGUUCCGCAGAGAGGCUCACACCAAAAUGUUCCUAGCAGAUUUAAUUGCCGAACCAACUGAUGGGUAUCCACACCAGGGAAUACUACUCAGAAUUCUGGAGAGACAAACUCUGACACGGCUGAUCAUGCGGAUUAAAUUUUAUGGGCCACAAAUGCACUUCAGGGUCAGAAACCAGUCGGCCCUGAAUUUGUCAAGAUGUUGUGGUUGCAAGAAACAGAAACUUGGGCUACCUACUGGUGUAGAGCCCACUAAAGUCACAAGGACAAGGGAUGGAUCACUCUUCAAUGGAGUUUCCAACAAGAGUCUCAGAAAACAGAGAGUACAUUUACCAUCUCGAAGGAAAAACUUCUUGCUGACAGAAAGCAGAGAAAGGGCACAGAAGAAAAGCACUGAGUGAAGAGUUUGUCAUCAGAAUUCCACAGAUGAAUGUAUCAUGUCUCCGUGCCUCCAGGAAUUUAAUCUCUAGGAGUCUGACUGUCACAACCUCAAACCCUUAGGGGGUGAGUUCACCAAGCUCACUGGGCUUGUGUAAAAACUAUAUGAAAAAUGCAUAUAAGAGGCAUAGUACAAAGCGUGAUGCACGGAAAGUUAUUUGAUAAAUAAAAACAGUCUGUGUAUUCAUAGAACAGCCACGUCCCACUACACACUGAGGUCUGUUUCUUGCAAAUACCUAUCACUCCCUGCUUAGGGUCUUUUUCUGGCAUAGGGAGAGCCAUGUGGAAGGUUAAUGUUCCGUGGAUCUUAACUCUCAGGAGUCAGGAAAUAGUCCAGCUUCCUCAUCCACAGUGGGUGCCUCAGAGACUUCUGGAGGCUCUUGCACAGUACCCAGACUGACCUUACCCCAACUGACACCUCCACUCCAGAAUGUGCCCCUUUCUCUUCCUGUCUUACCAUCCUUCCUGCAGUUACCUCCUGAGUAAACUACUUACUCUUGAAUCCUCCGCUCAGAUUGGGCCUCUGAGAACCCAAACCAGGACAAUGGAUUCGUAAAGAAAAUUUGAGAGAGGCUCGGCAGCAGAACGUCCACUAUCACCAUUCUAUGACUGGUGGAUUUAAGCUGUUUUCCUCUUUGUUAUCUGAGCUCAAAACAUUUUCACCAUGGAAGUAUAAGGGGGUGAUUAAGAUAUAUGUUGAGGGUUUAAAUUAAAAUGUUACAGUAAAAGACUUACUGUCAAGAAUGAUGGGGUAAUGUUUUCAAAGUAAGGAAGAGUAUUGAAAGUAUUUUACUAUAUUAAAUUUUAAUUUAAAUAUUAAUUUUAUACAUAUAUAUAUUUGGUAGGUUCUUGUUUUGAUUUUUGGGAUGGGGUCUCACUAUGUAGUUCAGGCUGGCCUUGAACUCUCUAUGUAGUCCAGGUUGGCCUUGAACUCAUGGCAAUCCUCCUGUCUCAGCCUCCCUAGUGCUGGGAUUACAGGCAUGAGCUACCAUGUCAGGCUUCACUGUAUGUUUUGAUCACCUUUCAUUGAUCAAAUGUUUACAGCCAUCUCUGUCUAAUGAAUGCAUUAUGGUAUGGCCUCAUCUACUGUAUUCACUGGAUCUGGAAACAUGUGACUUCUGACUUUUCUCCAAAGUCAAAAUGACCAUGAAAAGUCAAUGUUUUGGAUCGAUGAGGAACACACGGAAGAAGACUUAUAGAACUGCUUCGGAAAGUGGCAAGAAGGACGGAAUUGUUUUUGAAGCGAGGAGGAGGAUUUUGAGCGAGAUUCAUAGCAAUGUGUUUUUUACUAACCCUAAUCAAACUCUAUGUGCCCAGUAAGCAAAACUCACUUUUGCACCCACAAAGCCCAUCCCUACCAUGACUUACACCUAUCCUAGCCCUUUCUGUUCCUCUGCCUUUCUUCCAGGCUCCCCAGACCCACUCUGUCCAUGAUGCCACUUGGUGUCUAUGGUGGAUUAACUAAUAGUCAGUUUGUAACACCCAGCUGAAAUAAAUCAGUGCGGUUCUGAGGGGAGAAGGCCCCCCUGAUGACUGUUGCCAACAGCAGAAAGGCAGAACUGGCGGGGAAGAUGCUGGUGUUGUUGAUUUUCUGGAGACACUUAUCAAGAUGGCUUUCCUGAUAUGCACUCAGCUAUUCUCACUGUCAGAGGAGCUCGGGUCCUCGCUGUCAUUGAGGAUGGCUGCGGUUCUCUUUGGAGGAGCCCUCUUAUCUUGAGUGUCACUUCCUGGCUCCAGUGCAGAUCCCUCAGCCUACUGGCACAGAUCCUUCAUCCUCUUAGCAGACAUCCUAGCUUCCACCACUGACCUUCGGGCCUUCCCAGUUCAGAUUCUUGAUCAGACUUGCAGGAGACAUUGUUGGGGGCUUUAGACCUCCAACUGGACUCGUGCAGAACAUUGCCAGGCCCUCAGCUGGAUUCUUUGGAUCUCUCGUGUGUGGACAAUCUCCUGUACUCUUCUGAAUUUGACUUUUAUUAUAAAAUAACACUAUACAUUAUGUGUCCUGUAUUAAAUCUAUUCCCUUGUUAACCCUGACUCUGUGUCCCUUGCACCCCAUCGGCAUUACGAGUUCCUCCCAUUCCCUCUGUUGAUUUAAAGAGAUUGAACAAAACACCUCUUUGCCAUAA